GCCUUCGUGGUGUAGUGGUCAGCACGCUCGACGCGUAACCGAGAGGUCCGUGGUUCGAUUCCCGGCGAAGGGG
RNAcentral lists this transfer RNA (73 nucleotides) under Stegodyphus mimosarum. It matches the Rfam family "tRNA". Rfam says of the family: Transfer RNA (tRNA) molecules are approximately 80 nucleotides in length. Their secondary structure includes four short double-helical elements and three loops (D, anti-codon, and T loops). Further hydrogen bonds mediate the characteristic L-shaped molecular structure. tRNAs have two regions of fundamental functional importance: the anti-codon, which is responsible for specific mRNA codon recognition, and the 3' end, to which the tRNAs corresponding amino acid is attached (by aminoacyl-tRNA synthetases). tRNAs cope with the degeneracy of the genetic code in two manners: having more than one tRNA (with a specific anti-codon) for a particular amino acid; and 'wobble' base-pairing, i.e. permitting non-standard base-pairing at the 3rd anti-codon position. Lineage: Eukaryota; Metazoa; Arthropoda; Arachnida; Araneae; Eresidae. The record is from Rfam by way of RNAcentral.